AAAUUGAAGAGUUUGAUCAUGGCUCAGAUUGAACGCUGGCGGCAGGCCUAACACAUGCAAGUCGAGCGGCAGCGGGAAAGUAGCUUGCUACUUUUGCCGGCGAGCGGCGGACGGGUGAGUAAUGCCUGGGGAUCUGCCCAGUCGAGGGGGAUAACAGUUGGAAACGACUGCUAAUACCGCAUACGCCCUACGGGGGAAAGCAGGGGACCUUCGGGCCUUGCGCGAUUGGAUGAACCCAGGUGGGAUUAGCUAGUUGGUGAGGUAAUGGCUCACCAAGGCGACGAUC
This 286-nucleotide ribosomal RNA is filed under the name Aeromonas allosaccharophila. Its description in RNAcentral is "partial 16S ribosomal RNA". It matches the Rfam family "Bacterial small subunit ribosomal RNA", at positions 1 to 281 of the family's 1533-position model. The record is from RNAcentral. Lineage: Bacteria; Pseudomonadati; Pseudomonadota; Gammaproteobacteria; Aeromonadales; Aeromonadaceae.